Salmo salar (Atlantic salmon) is the source of this 4588-nucleotide non-coding RNA. The record is from RefSeq and is a predicted model, not a curated record. Lineage: Eukaryota; Metazoa; Chordata; Actinopteri; Salmoniformes; Salmonidae.
AUACUGAAUCCUACAGCUGUCACCAUUCAGAACAUACUGAAUCCUACAGCUGUCACCAUUCAGAACAUACUGAAUCCUACAGCUGUCACCCUUCCGUUUCCAUAACAUACUGAAUCCUACAGCUGUCACCAUUCAGAACAUACUGAAUCCUACAGCUGUCACCAUUCAGAACAUACUGAAUCCUACAGCUGUCACCAUUCAGAACAUACUGAAUCCUACAGCUGUCACCAUUCCGUUUCCAUAACAUACUGAAUCCUACAGCUGUCACCCUUCCGUUUCCAUAACAUACUGAAUCCUACAGCUGUCACCAUUCAGUUUCCAUAACAUACUGAAUCCUACAGCUGUCACCAUUCAGAACAUACUGAAUCCUACAGCUGUCACCAUUCAGAACAUACUGAAUCCUACAGCUGUCACCAUUCAGAACAUACUGAAUCCUACAGCUGUCACCAUUCAGAACAUACUGAAUCCUACAGCUGUCACCAUUCAGAACAUACUGAAUCCUACAGCUGGCACCAUUCAGUUUCCAUAACAUACUGAAUCCUACAGUUGUCACCAUUCAGUUUCCAUAACAUACUGAAUCCUACAGCUGUCACCAUUCAGAACAUACUGAAUCCUACAGCUGCCACACUUCAAGUACAGUCAGUACAAAUUAUACACAAGAUAUCCCAUCAGACUGUAGUAGUAUUGAGACUCUUUGAUUUGUCUGACAGUCACCUGAGAUGUUCUUUUACACUGAGAUGCUCAGUGAAGACAUUCAAUAGACACUGACGACAGCCAUAUCGUCUCCUCCACCAGAGCAGUAUUGAUCACAUCUCUCUGCGUGGCUGUCUGAUUAAAUGUUCUCUCUCUCCGACCGUCACACACUGAGAUGUGAUGGUCGGACACGUGAUUGACAGUGGUGUUUUUACCUGACAGUACUGUAGGGACCAGGUUGAAGAGAGUUAUGGUUGUUGUGAUGGUUAGAGUUGUUGUGAUGGUUAGAGAUAGGGUUAGGGUUGUUGUGAUGGUUAGAGAUAGGGUUAGGGUUGUUGUGAUGGUUAGAGAUAGGGUUAGGGUUGUUGUGAUGGUUAGAGAUAGGGUUAGGGUUGUUGUGAUGGUUAGAGAUAGGGUUAGGGUUGUUGUGAUGGUUAGAGAUAGGGUUAGGGUUGUUGUGAUGGUUAGAGAUAGGGUUAGGGUUGUUGUGAUGGUUAGAGAUAGGGUUAGGGUUGUUGUGAUGGUUAGAGAUAGGGUUAGGGUUGUUGUGAUGGUUAGAGAUAGGGUUAGGGUUGUUGUGAUGGUUAGAGAUAGGGUUAGGCUUGUUGUGAUGGUUAGAGAUAGGGUUAGGGUUGUUGUGAUGGUUAGAGAUAGGGUUAGGGUUGUUGUGAUGGUUAGAGAUAGGGUUAGGGUUGUUGUGAUGGUUAGAGAUAGGGUUAAGGUUGUUGUGAUGGUUAGAGAUAGGGUUAGGGUUGUUGUGAUGGUUAGAGAUAGGGUUAGGGUUGUUGUGAUGGUUAGAGAUAGGGUUAGGGUUGUUGUGAUGGUUAGAGAUAGGGUUAGGGUUGUUGUGAUGGUUAGAGAUAGGGUUAAGGUUGUUGUGAUGUGGGGUAGUCUACUGGUGUUGUCCACAUGGUCCUGUGGGUGGGGUGGUGUACAGUCUGGUUGGAUAAUGUCAUUAUCUAUAAAAGGUAAAAGAAGUCGAUCGUUUGUUUGAAGAGAAGCUUCAAGUCUGUUUCAACACAAUGCUCUUAACAUCUUACCAGAAAUAGGCUGACAGAUUCUUCUGUAGCUGUGGUAUCAUCACUGCCUCAUCUUCAAAAGGAGGGAGACUUUAGACAUGAUUUUCAGUUUUGGCUCGAGGGCCACAUCGGGAUUUUGAAAUUCAACGGAGGGAUGCAUUUUUUGGGGGACCAAUUGUUUGUUAUAAUCAAUUUGCGGGGGCCUCCCGAGUGGCGCAGCGGUCUAAGGUACUGCAUCGCAGUGCUAGAAGCGUCAUUACAGACCCGGGUUCGAUCCCGGGCCGUGUCAUAGUUGGCCGUGACUAAAACACCCAUGAGGCGGCGCAUAAUUGGCCCAUUGUCGUCCGGGUUAGGAGAGGGUUUGGCAGGCCAAGAUUUCCUUGUCCCAUCGCGCUCUAGUGACUCCUGUGGCAGGCCGGGCGCAUGCACGCUGACACGGUCGCCAGGUGUACGGUGUUUCCUCCGACACAUUGGUGCAGCUGGUUUCCGGGUUAAGCGGGCAUUGUGUCAAGAAGCAGUGCGGCUUGGCUGGGUUGUGUUUCGGAGGAUGCUGGGUCGUGUUUCGACCUUCGCCUCUCCCGAGUCCUUAAGGGAGUUGCAGCGAUGGGACAAGAAAGGGCUAAAUUAUUUUUCUUUUUGUCUCGUGGGCCAGAUUGAACUGCCCCGCGGGCCGUACUUUGCCCCCCUCCCCCCUUGCUCUAAGGUAUAUGCAGGACUUGGGCAGGAGCUCACAGGAGCCGAGUACAGGCACCUGAAAUGUUCAACUGCUUGAACUCCUGUUCCUGUUAUUGAAUAUUAUCUCAAAAGUAUUGUGGAACUCCUGCACCUAAAUAUAAGCAGUACUGGCAACCAAAAUGAGUACCGACACCUAUUUCAAUCCAUCUCAAGCACUGGGUAUAUGUUAAAGCAAUCGUCUUAGUCGUGAGAACAGGACAACUUAUCACGGGACACUGUCUCAACACAACAUGCUUGUUUGUUUGAAGCCCUUCUAGUAUUGGUAAAGACAAACCAUUUAUUGGGAAAAAAAUGGUAUCAAAUCAAAGUGUAUUUGUCACGUGCCAUGUACAACAGAUGUAGACGUUACUGUGAAAUGCUUACUGACGAGCCCUUUUCCAAAACAACGCAGAAUUACAAUGUAAUAAUUGAAUGGUAAAGAAAAUGCAAUCGAAUUCUGCAUCGUUCUAUUGUCUGUUUCUAGUAUCAACGUUCCAACAAAGUCCAUGUCAGGGCAAUAUAAUAAUACACAUACCCUGGCCUGGCUCUUGAUAUACCCUGGCCUGGCUCUUGAUAUACCCUGGCCUGGCUCUUGAUAUACCCUGGCCUGGCUCUUGAUAUACCCUGGCCUGGCUCUUGAUAUACCCUGGCCUGGCUCUUGAUAUACCCUGGCCUGGCUCUUGAUAUACCCUGGCCUGGCUCUUGAUAUACCCUGGCCUGUGUGCCAGGCUCUUGACAACUUCUUAUGGAAUUGCCUUUUGGCUUGAAAAUAACAUUGGAGUUGGCACCCAGGCUAUAUACAGUGCCUUCGGAAAAUCUUCAGACCCCUCGACUUUUUCAACAUUUUGUUACGUUACAACCUUAUUCUAAAAUGUAUCAAAUGAAAAUGUACAUACAGUACCAGUCAAAAGUUUGGACUCAUUCAAGGGUUUUUCUUUAUUUUGACUAUUUUCUACAUUGUAGAAUAAUAGUGAAGACAUCAACACUAUGAAAUAACACAUAUGGAAUCACGUAGUAACUAAAAAAGUGUUUAAACAAAUGAAAAUAUAUUUUAUAUUUCAGAUUCUUCAAAGUAGCCAUCCUUUGCCUUGAUGACAGUUUUGCACACUCUUGUCAUUCUCUCAACCAGCUUCAUGAGGUAGUCACCUGGAAUGCAUUUCAAUUAACAGGUGUGCCUUGUUGAAAGUUAAUUUGUGGAAUUUUUUUCCUUAAUGCGUUUGAGCCAAUCAGUUGUGUCGUGACAAGGUAGGGGUGGUGUACAGAAGAAGCCUGUUUGGUAAAAGACCAAGUCCAUAUUAUGGCAAGAACAGCUCAAAUAAGAGAAGUGACAGUCCAUCAUUACUUUAAGACAUAAAGGUCAGUCAAUACGAAAAAUGUCAAGAACUUUGAAAGUUUCUUCAAGUGCAGUCGCAAAAAAACAUCAAGCUCUAUGAUGAAACUGACUCUCAUGAGGACCGCCACAGGAAAGGAAGACCCAGAGUUACCUCUGCAGCAAAGGAUAAAUUCAUUGGAGUGUUAUUUCAGUGUUGAUGUCUUCACUAUUUCAGUUUUGAUGUCUCUUCACUAUUAUUCUACAAUGUAGAAAAUAGUCAAAUGAAAAGAAAAACCCUUGAAUGAGUAGGUUUUCUAAAACUUUUGACCGGUACUGUAUAUGUCUUGGACCAGGCUAUAUAUGUUUGUCUGUAUCUUUUCUGUUAACAAUGUAUUAGUGUAUCGUAUUUUCUUUAUUUCUUGAUGCGCAUAACUGUUGGCUGAGCAGCAGUCCUCGACUUGGGCUGGAGCUGAGUACCAGCACCUCAAAUGUUCUACGGCUUCAGCUCCCGUUCCUCUUAUAGAAUAUCAACUCAAAUGUAUUGUGGAGCUCCUGCACCUGAAUAUAAACAGUAACGACACCUAUUUCAGUCCAUGUCGAGUACUGCUGAGCAGUGUGGAAGGGAGGGGCUAACGCUGGUGGUUUUAUAUAGAGAAAAAUAGCUCUGGUCCAGGGUGUGGUUUGGUAAUGUUCUCAGCGUCGCCCUGGACCAGAGUUAAAGAUAUGAACGUCAGCACGUCCAUUAUAGAUGUACAUAGUGUAUUUCUCUGCUUUGGUUUACGACAAUAUAAGCUGUUUUUCUUACUUUAUACGUUUGUACUUCUGUGAAAUAAAGAUUAUUAUUUUAUCA